CAAGUGUAUUAGCUAAGGCUGUCAGUGUGGCUGCCAGCUCCCCGAAGCAAGCCCAGCGUGCUGUGACCUCAUGCACACAACAUGCAGGAUUGACUAUGAAGGGGGCUCCUAGUAAAUAGAUGUGAAGCCUGGAUCCUGUCUCAGCUGCCUUGAAGAUAGGCAGUGAGGAGGAGGAGGAGGAGGAGGUGAUAUUGCUGAAAACAUUUUGCAUAAGUAAGUCUUGCUAUAAUCCCUCUGGCAGCCCUGGAUGAGAGGAAUGUUCUUUAAUUAGCACAGAAGAUGAUUGUCUGCUUAAGUGGUGGGCAAUUCUACAUCAUUCAGAUAAGGUUUGAUUCCUCUCCCUGAAGGAUUGACAGGGAAAGGAAAAGAAGAGUAAAGGGAUCCACCAACAGAUGGAUGCAGAGUAUUGGUCUUAAAGACAGCCUGUUCUGCUGGAAGGAUAUAGUAUAUCCUCAAAGGUGGAUCUCAAUAAGGAUUUAUCAGUGAAUUGUGAGAGAACGUUUAGUUUUAGAAGAGUUAAUUUGAAGGACACUGAAGAAACAAAUUAUCCCCAAAUCAAUGGUAAAGUUAUUAAGCAUGAAGAAAUCCUACGUGAUAUACCCAAAUCCAUCCAGUGAAACAAGGAACACUCCACUUCACCCCAAAGAAAUAAGGCACCUUCCAGAAAAAGAAUUUGUUGUUUUGAUUAUUUAAAAAAGUGCAGAAGAUAUAAGAAUAAAGAAGUUCCAAUACCUUGGAAAAAUGGCUGGUAAUGGUUGGACAAGACAAGAAUGCUAUUACUUCAGGAAAGGAGACGAAUGUUGAAUUUAGAGCUUAGAAGACUUACCUGGGAGAAAGCAAGAUUACAGAAGUGCUGAGUGUUUCCAUCUAUUGUUGAAACAUGUAAGAGUUGUAUGUUCUUAGCACAUCAAACGUUAAGGUUUCAAGAUUCUUCUACUACCAUUUCAUGAAUAUAGUAUCACUCAUCACAGUGUCAUGUAGUGACUCUGGUCAAAUAUUGGAGUUUCUUCCAAGGGUAGAGGCUAAGAAACAAGGAGAAAUAAUAAUGCAAGCUCAUGAGCUUGGAAAACUUGCUAUGAGCGUAUUCUGAUG
Molecule: long non-coding RNA, 1092 nt
Filed under: Gallus gallus (chicken)
Lineage: Eukaryota; Metazoa; Chordata; Aves; Galliformes; Phasianidae
Description: lncRNA (ENSGALG00010018307.1)
Source: RNAcentral